Molecule: transfer RNA, 86 nt
Filed under: Actinomycetes bacterium
Lineage: Bacteria; Bacillati; Actinomycetota; Actinomycetes
Also listed under: 2 other names
Description: Actinobacteria bacterium tRNA-Leu
Rfam family: tRNA
About the family: Transfer RNA (tRNA) molecules are approximately 80 nucleotides in length. Their secondary structure includes four short double-helical elements and three loops (D, anti-codon, and T loops).
Source: RNAcentral
GCCGAAGUGGCGGAACUGGCAGACGCGCCGGACUCAAAAUCCGGUGGGCCGAGAGGCCCGUGUGGGUUCGAUUCCCACCUUCGGCA